Molecule: ribosomal RNA, 427 nt
Filed under: uncultured bacterium
Lineage: Bacteria
Description: partial 16S ribosomal RNA
Rfam family: Bacterial small subunit ribosomal RNA
Source: RNAcentral
UGGGGAAUAUUGCACAAUGGGCGCAAGCCUGAUGCAGCCAUGCCGCGUGUAUGAAGAAGGCCUUCGGGUUGUAAAGUACUUUCAGCGAGGAGGAAGGCGUUGUGGUUAAUAACCGCAGCGAUUGACGUUACUCGCAGAAGAAGCACCGGCUAACUCCGUGCCAGCAGCCGCGGUAAUACGGAGGGUACAAGCGUUAAUCGGAAUUACUGGGCGUAAAGCGCACGCAGGCGGUAUGUCAAGUCGGAUGUGAAAUCCCCGGGCUCAACCUGGGAACUGCAUCCGAAACUGGCAGGCUAGAGUCUUGUAGAGGGGGGUAGAAUUCCAGGUGUAGCGGUGAAAUGCGUAGAGAUCUGGAGGAAUACCGGUGGCGAAGGCGGCCCCCUGGACAAAGACUGACGCUCAGGUGCGAAAGCGUGGGGAGCAAACA